Molecule: transfer-messenger RNA, 375 nt
Filed under: human gut metagenome
Rfam family: transfer-messenger RNA
About the family: Bacterial tmRNA, also known as 10Sa RNA or SsrA, is named for its dual tRNA and mRNA-like properties. Its role is to liberate the mRNA from a stalled ribosome.
Source: RNAcentral
GGGGAUGAUCGGUUUCGACGGCGGUCGUCGAUCGAGGGGAAGCGGGUCGAGGACGCGCGCUCAGCUCGUGAACGAUGCGUGCAAACCAAUAGGUGCCGAACAGAAUCGCACCGACUACGUUCUUGCUGCCUGAUAGCAGUCUGAACCUUUAGUCCGUCAGCCCGGGUGGUGCUCCCAGCCCGGAUCCUGGCGUCAUUCAGGGAGCCACUGGUCGUCGACCUCGUCAGCGGGUCGGCUUCGACACUCAGUUGACUGAGCCCAUCCGGCAGGCAUGUCUGCAUGACGUCGGGGGCCGAGAAAUAGCUUGCAGACUGUGCCCGGAGAAGACCUCGGGGCCGGCCGUCGGACGGGGGUUCGAUUCCCCCCCAUCUCCAC